UACGGGGGGGGCAAGCGUUGUUCGGAAUUACUGGGCGUAAAGGGCUCGUAGGCGGCCAACUAAGUCAGACGUGAAAUCCCUCGGCUUAACCGGGGAACUGCAUCUGAUACUGGAUGGCUUGAGAUUGGGAGAGGGAUGCGGAAUUCCAGGUGUAGCGGUGAAAUGCGUAGAUAUCUGGAGGAACACCGGUGGCGAAGGCGGCAUCCUGGACCAACACUGACGCUGAGGCACGAAGGCCAGGGGAGCAAACGGG
Molecule: ribosomal RNA, 253 nt
Filed under: uncultured bacterium
Lineage: Bacteria
Description: partial 16S ribosomal RNA
Rfam family: Bacterial small subunit ribosomal RNA
Source: RNAcentral